GGAGUAGUCCCAGGUCGAUAUAGGUAAAGAAAGAAUGCGUGAAGAUUCCUUAUCUACGUCGAGAAGUGUUUCACCUGUUUCCUUACGGAGUCAGGGUGAUGGAGAAGUAUCAGGACCAUCUUUUGCUACGAUGUUAACCGCAAAACGCCAGCAACCAUCUUGGCCGCAACUUAAAUCAUCUCCACAAAUCUCGCAGGUGGAAUCUUUCCGUUUGAUUAACGUCACCGGCUCAAAGCUCACAGCCACGCCAAGGCAGGUGAGGGUAGACAGCGAUAACGAGGACGAAGAUUACGUCCCGGCGCCGGCUUACAACAGCAGUUUUAGCGAUGCUAUCGCGAUGGCUUUAGAGAAAGCCUCUCUGUCGCACGAUGUCGACGCAGUGGGCGAUAACAACGUAAAGUGCGGACAGAAAAAGAAGAAGAAGAACAAACAAAAGAUCUUGUUUGCUACGUCUAUGACCUACUGCGACAAAUAGUUCCAGGAAGAGAUGAUAAUUAUUAUUUGUGUUUUAAACAAAAACAAAUUUUGGUUGCACUACAGGUACUACUCAAGCAAGUCACAUAAAAUUUUGAUUUCUACAUAACAGCUAAUAUAAAUUACAUAGUAAUAUAAUACCGCAGAUUAAUUAUGUAUUAAUUUAUUUUGAAAUGUGUUAUAAAUUCUUUAAAUUCGUCUAUUUUCGUACGAAUAUGUUACUAACUUUUAUUGUUCAUGAUUAUAAUGGUUAUAAAAA
Molecule: long non-coding RNA, 733 nt
Organism: Dalotia coriaria
Lineage: Eukaryota; Metazoa; Arthropoda; Insecta; Coleoptera; Staphylinidae
Exons: 2
Source: RefSeq, a predicted model, not a curated record